GGAAUAUUGGACAAUGGGCGCAAGCCUGAUCCAGCCAUCCCGCGUGAGUGAUGAAGGCCCUCGGGUCGUAAAGCUCUGUGGAGAGGGACGAACGUCCGUACGUGAAUAGCGUGCGGGGUGACGGUACCUCUUUAGCAAGCACCGGCUAACUCCGUGCCAGCAGCCGCGGUAAUACGGAGGGUGCAAACGUUGCUCGGAAUCAUUGGGCGUAAAGCGCACGUAGGCGGUCCGUUAAGUCGGAUGUGAAAGCCCUCGGCUUAACCGGGGAAGUGCAUUCGAAACUAGCGGGCUUGAGUACGGGAGAGGGUUGCGGAAUUCCCGGUGUAGAGGUGAAAUUCGUAGAUAUCGGGAGGAACACCAGAGGCGAAGGCGGCAACCUGGACCGAUACUGACGCUGAGGUGCGAAAGCGUGGGGAGCAA
This 420-nucleotide ribosomal RNA is filed under the name uncultured bacterium. RNAcentral describes it as "bacterial SSU rRNA". It matches the Rfam family "Bacterial small subunit ribosomal RNA", at positions 358 to 771 of the family's 1533-position model. The record is from RNAcentral.